Molecule: non-coding RNA, 803 nt
Organism: Ictidomys tridecemlineatus (thirteen-lined ground squirrel)
Lineage: Eukaryota; Metazoa; Chordata; Mammalia; Rodentia; Sciuridae
Source: RefSeq, a predicted model, not a curated record
CACUCUGCCUCUGAGGGUAUAUUAUUACUUCCUGGUUUCCAUAGUAAACUAACGUCAAGGAGAGCAUUUUGAUGACAUUCUGGUUUCUAUGACAACCGGGGCAAGCCAUUCCUUCCUGGCGGCAGACACACUUCACAAGGAUAUUUACAGACUGGAGAGAUGGGAUAACUGUAGAAACCUCAACACUAAUUAGCAUCACAGGGCAACAGGUCGUGGCCAUCUGCAUUUGGGUGCCCUGGAGUCCCUGGAGGAAGAGUGCAGUUUGGAGGCACGGGGCAGAGUGAAGGUUCUGCAGGUGAGGAGUUGCAGCAGCAGAUGUGGGACUGGACCUUCGUGACCCUGGGUUGCUCCUGUAUCACCCACAAAAACAAGCAGUCAGCCCAGCACCUCAGGGAGACUCGGGCGGGAAGAGAGCCACUCAAGCUGCCAGCCCUUUGCAGUCCCUGAGGACUGCACGCAGCCUUAGGGCAGAACUGCAUUAGCGGUGGUUUUGACAGCCAGGCGUCCUGCCCUCCUCCAAUCACCUCCUGACCCCCAACUCCAACUGCAAUGGACACCCAGUAUGUCCUGUGCAGUUGGAAAGGCCGCUUGUGGCCAGCCAAGGUUCUGUCCAGAUCUUGGACUUUGCCGAAAUAUAAGAGGAGAAGGGUGCUUUCUCUCCAAGUCCAGAUCCUCUCUGAAGACCAAAAAUUGAGAGUGAAGGGCAAAGACGCAAGGGUGCUGAACAAGUUGGAAAUCGAAGCCCUGGCCACCUCAGCCCGGGCAUGGUCCAGGGCCACUGUGCCAUCGGGGGAGAAGAGAAG